RNAcentral lists this long non-coding RNA (1597 nucleotides) under Physcomitrium patens. Its description in RNAcentral is "long non-coding RNA (PPAT_LNC013693)". Lineage: Eukaryota; Viridiplantae; Streptophyta; Bryopsida; Funariales; Funariaceae. The record is from RNAcentral.
AGUCUUGAGGCAAGUUGACUAUGAUUAUAGCAGACUAGUUGUUGUUAUUGUUGAUAUAAGUUCUAUUACAUUGGAUGGACUAUUAAUCAAGAUGAUGUAGAAAGUAAGAGGUUUGCUAUCAGAUUUGAAGUAAGAAUUCUUACAAAUAAACAAAGAGCAUAUCCAUAAGUGAAGAAGGAGCUUUUGGGAGCACUUAUAGCUAUGAAAACAAAUAGAAAUUGUGACCAAUGUGGUGCUAAAAAUUGAUUACUUAUCAUUAUUGGAUAUAAUUAUCAAUUAUUCUACUCUUGAUAUUGCCAUGCUAAGGUGGAUAAUCUGCAUUGGAUCACUCAAUCUUGUAUUGGUACAUAUUUUUGGCAAGAAGGACUUUGUGGUAAAUAUGCUAUUUAGAGCCAAAUAUAUUUAUGAAGAAGAAAUAGUGUAGAAUAGAUAUUCGUUCGUUUCUAUAAGAUAUUGGUAAAAUAGACUAAUAGUCCAUAGAAUAAUCAGUUCAGGAGGACGGAUGAUUGAUUUAGUUAUUAAAAGUGGUUAAUUACAGAAUUAUGGUUAAAAUCUGGGAAUCAAGAGCAGUUAUAUAGGAGUUGUAGAAGUUUGUUGGAUGCCAGACUGUGAUAGUUCAUGAACUGGGGUAAGUUUGGUACUACCUCUUUAUUUCUUUGUUUUUUUUGUUAUUGAAGAGUAAUGGAUAGUUUCUGAAUAUUGAGAAGUGAGUCUAUAGAAUAAAUCAGAGAUUGAUUUAUAAUUUAUUGAUUAUGUAAUUAGAGUACUGAGUGAUUGAAUUAUAUGAGGAGUUAUUAGAAGAUUAUGAUUGUUGUUUAUUGAGAGCUGUGUGUGUUUUGGACAAAAAAAAUUGGUGAUUACAAAAAUUUUAUGAAUUCAGAUUGGUUAGAGUGAAGUCUGUUAUUUUUGGUGUUGGAUGGAAAUUAUGUGUUUUGAGCGGUCUUUUGAGAGUGCAGGGUUGCACAUUGUUGUUAUCAGUUGAUGAAAGAUUAUUAUUAUUGGGAGAAAGCAUUGUAGUAUUUUUUAGUGUUUUAGUGGUUCGGAAUAUGGUUAAUUGUGUGAUCCUAACAACAAAACUCAUGCACUUAGUCUUUCCUUGUAUUCGAAUUUUUCUAUACAGGUUUAUUCUGAAAGAAAUUAUAGAAUAAAUAAAAUGACAAUCACAAAUAGAAACAUAAGAGAUUGGUGAAAAUGAUGAAGAUGAAGACUAUGACUAUGUAUUAGCUAUUAAUGGCAUAAGGACAAGUGAUAAAGAUGUGGCUUUUAAAGAAGAUCUUUAUGGAAAUAAGUUAAGAGACAUUGGUAUCUAUUUGAGUACCAUGAAGAAAUAAGAAGGUUAAUGAGACAAGGCCUUCAAAGACAUGAGACAACAAUCUUAUGAUUAUAUUUUGAGAGAUAAUUUCUUAUGGAAGAGGCCAAAGAUGAUAGAUGGAAUACCAUUGAAAAUAGUAGAUGAUGCAAAAAUCAAGAAUCAAGUUUUCAAAGAGUUUCAUGAUAUACUUUGGAUGGGUUAUAGAGAAGUUUGAACCACUUAUCAUAAGAUCAAAGAACAAUAUUGGUAGAAGGGCCUCUACAAAGAUGUGGAAGAAUUUAUAGC